This 870-nucleotide ribosomal RNA is filed under the name uncultured Flavobacteriales bacterium. RNAcentral describes it as "bacterial SSU rRNA". It matches the Rfam family "Bacterial small subunit ribosomal RNA", at positions 58 to 922 of the family's 1533-position model. Lineage: Bacteria; Pseudomonadati; Bacteroidota; Flavobacteriia; Flavobacteriales. The record is from RNAcentral.
CAAGUCGAGGGGCAGCAUGACCGUAGCAAUACGGUUGAUGGCGACCGGCAAACGGGUGCGGAACACGUACACAACCUUCCUUUAAGCGGGGAAUAGCCCGGGGAAACCCGGAUUAAUACCCCAUAGUAUAUUGAAGAGGCAUCUCUUUACUAUUAAAGAUUUAUCACUUGAAGAUGGGUGUGCGGCUGAUUAGCUAGUUGGCGGGGUAAAGGCCCACCAAGGCUACGAUCAGUAACUGGUGUGAGAGCACGACCAGUCACACGGGCACUGAGACACGGGCCCGACUCCUACGGGAGGCAGCAGUAAGGAAUAUUGGUCAAUGGACGAAAGUCUGAACCAGCCAUGCCGCGUGGAGGAUGAAGGUCCUCUGGAUUGUAAACUUCUUUUAUCUGGGACGAAAAAAGGGAAUUCUUUCUCGUCUGACGGUACCAGAUGAAUAAGCACCGGCUAACUCCGUGCCAGCAGCCGCGGUAAUACGGAGGGUGCAAGCGUUAUCCGGAUUCACUGGGUUUAAAGGGUGCGUAGGUGGAUUGGUAAGUCAGUGGUGAAAUCUCCGGGCUUAACCCGGAAACUGCCAUUGAUACUAUCAGUCUUGAAUACCGUGGAGGUCAGUAGAAUAUGUCAUGUAGCGGUGAAAUGCUUAGAUAUGACAUAGAAUACCAAUUGCGAAGGCAGCUGGCUACACGAAUAUUGACACUCAGGCACGAAAGCGUGGGGAUCAAACAGGAUUAGAUACCCUGGUAGUCCACGCCCUAAACUAUGGAUACUCGACAUACGCGAUACACUGUGUGUGUCUGAGCGAAAGCAUUAAGUAUCCCACCUGGGAAGUACGAUCGCAAGAUUGAAACUCAAAGGAAUUGGCGGGGGUCC